RNAcentral lists this ribosomal RNA (441 nucleotides) under uncultured bacterium. RNAcentral describes it as "partial 16S ribosomal RNA". It matches the Rfam family "Bacterial small subunit ribosomal RNA", at positions 338 to 795 of the family's 1533-position model. The record is from RNAcentral.
CCUACGGGAGGCUGCAGUGGGGAAUAUUGCACAAUGGGGGAAACCCUGAUGCAGCAACGCCGCGUGAGUGAAGAAGGUUUUCGGAUUGUAAAGCUCUGUUAGCAGGGAAGAGGAAGGACGGUACCUGCAGAGGAAGCCACGGCUAACUACGUGCCAGCAGCCGCGGUAAUACGUAGGUGGCAAGCGUUGUUCGGAAUAACUGGGCGUAAAGGAUGCGUAGGCGGUUAAACAAGUUAUAUGUUAAAUAUAUAGGCUUAACCUGUAGAAAGCAUAUAAAACUGUUUAACUAGAGUGCAGGAGAGGUAAGUGGAAUUCCUAGUGUAGCGGUGAAAUGCUUAGAUAUCACGAAGAACUCCGAUUGCGAAGGCAGCUUACUAAACUGCCACUGACAUUGAUGCUCGAAAGUGUGGGUAUCAAACAGGAUUAGAUACCCUGGUAGUC